This is a small nuclear RNA of Rattus norvegicus (Norway rat), 103 nucleotides long. Lineage: Eukaryota; Metazoa; Chordata; Mammalia; Rodentia; Muridae. The record is from Ensembl.
AUGCUCGCUUCGGCAGCACAUAUACUAAAAUUGGAAAGAUACAGAGAUUAGCAUGGCCCCUGCAAAAGGAUGACACACAAAGCGUGAAGCGUUCCAUAUUUUU